GAUGAAGAACGCAGCGAAAUGCGAUAAGUAGUGUGAAUUGCAGAAUUCAGUGAAUCAUCGAAUCUUUGAACGCACAUUGCGCCCUUUGGUAUUCCUUAGGGCAUGCCUGUUCGAGCGUCAUUUAAACCUUCAAGCUCAGCUUGGUGAUGGGUGACUGUCCUCCCCUCGCGGGGGGACUCGCCUCAAAAACAUUGGCGGCCGGUACAUUGGCUUCGAGCGCAGCAGAAACGCGGUCUCGAGUCCGGUGGAUCGGCUCCCAUAAGUCUAUUCUUUUAUUUUGACCUCGGAUCAGGUAGGGAUACCCACUGAACUUAAGCAUAUCAAUAAGCGGAGGA
RNAcentral lists this unclassified non-coding RNA (335 nucleotides) under soil metagenome. Its description in RNAcentral is "partial contains 5.8S ribosomal RNA, internal transcribed spacer 2, and large subunit ribosomal RNA". The stretch from base 1 to 120 matches the Rfam family "5.8S ribosomal RNA", at positions 35 to 154 of the family's 154-position model. The record is from RNAcentral.